Molecule: ribosomal RNA, 440 nt
Filed under: uncultured bacterium
Lineage: Bacteria
Description: partial 16S ribosomal RNA
Rfam family: Bacterial small subunit ribosomal RNA
Source: RNAcentral
CCUACGGGUGGCAGCAGUGGGGAAUAUUGCACAAUGGGGGCAACCCUGAUGCAGCGACGCCGCGUGAGCGAUGAAGUACUUCGGUAUGUUAAGCUCUAUCAGCAGGGAAGCAGAUGACGGUACCUGACUAAGAAGCGCCGGCUAACUACGUGACAGCAGCCGCGGUAAUACGUCGGGGGCAAGCGUUAUCCGGAUUUACUGGGGGUAAAGGGGGCGUAGACGGCGAUGCAAGCCAGAUGGGAAAGCACGGGGCUCAACCCCGGGACUGCAUUUGGAACUGUGUGGCUGGAGUGUCGGAGAGGCAGGCGGAAUGCCUGGUGUAGCGGUGAAAUGCGUAGAUAUUAGGAGGAACACCAGUGGCGAAGGCGGCCUGCUGGACGAUGACUGACGUUGAGGCUCGAAAGCGUGGGGAGCGAACAGGAUUAGAUACCCCGGUAGUC